This is a long non-coding RNA of Sinocyclocheilus grahami, 535 nucleotides long. RefSeq lists it as uncharacterized. Lineage: Eukaryota; Metazoa; Chordata; Actinopteri; Cypriniformes; Cyprinidae. The record is from RefSeq and is a predicted model, not a curated record. The transcript has 3 exons.
ACUUUAAAACUUUUCCCCCCUCUUUUACUAAUAUUUAGUUGAUAUUUUGUUAGCUACAUACUAAGCUACUGUUAAUAAAUAUGCCACAGCUUGUCAAUGUAGCAUUAAUGGCUUGAUAAUGACUAAUGGUUACUGCUUCGACAUUACAGGGACUGAUGAACACACUCAGCUUAUUCAGUGGAGAGUGGCUGAUGAAGCCCUUCACUGGAAAGCGUAAUGCUGCCAUCAAAGGUUUUGAAUCUUUUGUGACAGAGCAGGGACUUGAGGGCAAAAUUUCUGCCACUCAAGUCAAAAGAAAGUGGCAGAACCUAAAACAAAAAUAUAAAACCCGGGAUAUCCAACAAAGAUAUCGAGGAACUUCUCCUUGUGGUCGGUGAUGGCCUGCAGCUGAACAGAGUGGAAUAGCUUCCUAUUAAAAUAGCAUGGGGCAUCACUUGCUGGUGGCUUGAUCCGGAUGUGGCAUCCGUCUAUUGCACCAGCUACCAUGUGGAAAACUGGAGACCCAGCCAGCUGGGCAAAACCUGCCCCCAGGUCA